RNAcentral lists this ribosomal RNA (253 nucleotides) under uncultured bacterium. RNAcentral describes it as "partial 16S ribosomal RNA". It matches the Rfam family "Bacterial small subunit ribosomal RNA", at positions 524 to 776 of the family's 1533-position model. The record is from RNAcentral.
UACGUAGGGUGCAAGCGUUGUCCGGAAUUAUUGGGCGUAAAGAGCUCGUAGGCGGCCUGUUACGUCUGCUGUGAAAUCCCGGGGCUUAACCCCGGGCGUGCAGUGGAUACGGGCAGGCUGGAGGCAGGCAGGGGAGAACGGAAUUCCCGGUGUAGCGGUGAAAUGCGCAGAUAUCGGGAGGAACAUCAGUGGCGAAAGCGGCUUCCUGGUCCAGCACCGACGUUCAGGCACGAAAGCGUGGGGAGCAAACAGG